Molecule: ribosomal RNA, 318 nt
Filed under: Triticum aestivum (bread wheat)
Lineage: Eukaryota; Viridiplantae; Streptophyta; Magnoliopsida; Poales; Poaceae
Description: partial small subunit ribosomal RNA
Source: RNAcentral
AUGGUAGCACAUGAUUUUAUUGUUAAAGAUAAAAAGAAGAUGCUUAAAUAUAGAUUAAUAUUUGAUAAAAAAUACUUUGAGACUAUCACCUUGCCUGCUUCCUCUUUGUUCAACAUAUUUUCAGGCACGUACAUUGUUUUGCCGGAGGCCAUUGCAUACCGGAGCCAGACAUUAGCUCCAGAGCCCGAGCCGGAGCCACCACUUGAUCCUUACCGUCAGUCUGUUUAUCAAUGGGAUCUGGAAGAGACCGUCAAUCAGUGGCACCCAGAGGACAGUCCUCCAUACACCGGAGAGGGUCACUUUGAUCCAUGGGCAUAG